CUAACAUGGAUACCCCGGGAGGUCACUCUUCCCAGGCUCUGUCCAGGUGGCAUAGGGGAGCAUAGGGCUCUGCCCCACAAUGUUGGAGAAGAGGCUGGGCCUUGUAUCUGCGCCUGUAUAUUC
This 123-nucleotide small nucleolar RNA is filed under the name Cavia aperea (Brazilian guinea pig). Its description in RNAcentral is "Small nucleolar RNA SNORA73 family (ENSCAPG00000001503.1)". Lineage: Eukaryota; Metazoa; Chordata; Mammalia; Rodentia; Caviidae. The record is from RNAcentral.